UACGUAGGGGGCAAGCGUUGUCCGGAAUCAUUGGGCGUAAAGAGCGUGUAGGCGGCUUGGUAAGUCCGCUGUGAAAGUCCAGGGCUCAACCCUGGAAUGCCGGUGGAUACUGUCGAGCUAGAGUCCGGAAGGGGCGAGUGGAAUUCCUGGUGUAGCGGUGAAAUGCGCAGAUAUCAGGAGGAACACCAAUGGCGAAGGCAGCUCGCUGGGACGUGACUGACGCUGAGACGCGAAAGCGUGGGGAGCAAACAGG
RNAcentral lists this ribosomal RNA (253 nucleotides) under uncultured bacterium. RNAcentral describes it as "partial 16S ribosomal RNA". It matches the Rfam family "Bacterial small subunit ribosomal RNA", at positions 524 to 776 of the family's 1533-position model. The record is from RNAcentral.